Molecule: ribosomal RNA, 592 nt
Filed under: Physcia halei
Lineage: Eukaryota; Fungi; Ascomycota; Lecanoromycetes; Caliciales; Physciaceae
Description: SSU rRNA
Rfam family: Bacterial small subunit ribosomal RNA
Source: RNAcentral
UAAAAUUCUAGGUAGAAUUAUGAUAAUGACAUUGUCUGCCUAUGUGUCUUGACCAAAUUACGUGCCAGCAGUCGCGGUAAUACGUAGAAGACUAGUGUUAUUCAUGUUUAAUCGGUUUAAAGGGUACCUAGACGGUAGAUCAAGCUUUCUAAUAAAGGAAAAGGACUAGUUUACUAGAGUUACUUAUGAGGGGGUAUUAAAGUACUGCUGGUGUAGAGAUGAAAUUCUGUCAUACCUCUUUUCAAAAGAAAAACCAUGGCACAGGUAUAGGCGAAGGCAUCCCCUUAUGUGAUAACUGACGUUGAGGGACGAAGGCUUUGUGUAGCGAACAGGAUUAGAUACCCCAGUAGUCGAAGCAGAAAAUGAUGAAUGUCAUAGAUUAGAUAUAUAAGUUUAUUCUAUAAAUGAAAGUGUAAGCAUUCCACCUCAUGAGUAAUUUGGCAACAUUGGAACUGAAAUCAUUAGACCGUUUCUGAAACCAGUAGUGAAGUAUGUUGUUUAAUUUGAUGUCCCGCAAAAAACCUUACCACAAUUUGAAUAUUUAUAUUGUUUAUUGUUUUAUUAUUAAUUUUCUUGAACGGAAAGAUCACGU